Molecule: long non-coding RNA, 1841 nt
Organism: Rhododendron vialii
Lineage: Eukaryota; Viridiplantae; Streptophyta; Magnoliopsida; Ericales; Ericaceae
Exons: 8
Source: RefSeq, a predicted model, not a curated record
CUAAAUGAUAGGGGACAACCUGUAAUGCCUGAAGCAUCUUCUCUUGCCACUAAUUUAGGGGUGUUGGCGAGGGAUGGUUCCAUUUUACCAUUGCACUAUAAGGAUUGGCGAUAUGUCCUUGCGCACUAUAAGAAGAGAGUAUGGGAAGAAAUCAAGGCUCAUACAGAUGCAAAUGAUUCUAUGGAGAGGUGGUUCAUGCAAUCUCUUGGAAGGAAAUGGCAAGGAUGGAAAUGUGAAGCAAAAAAACAAGGAUACACGCCAUAUAAUAAUGAUGCAGACAGAAUAGCUCAUAGGCCUAGUAGAGUUACGGAGGAGCAGUGGCGGUGUCUGGUCUAUUAUUAGAAUGAUAGAAAUGUACAGGAGAAGAGUACAAACAACAAGGAUUAUAGGUCCCAACAAAAAUUACUACACACAAGCGGGCGGACACCACAUUAUUUGGUUGAGCAGAAGGACAAGGAUGACGGAAAAAACCCUACGCGUAUUGAUACAUUUAUCAAAACACAUACACGAAAAGGUGGUGUAGCAGUUAAUGAAGAAACUUCUGCUAUCGUUAACAAAUUGAAAGCGUUGCGAUGCCCAGAUGGGUCUAGUUCACAUCCCAUGUCAGAGGGUGCGAUUUUCAGUCAAGCUAUAGGACCUGAGCGACCCGAGCAUACUCGAGGGCUAGGCUUAGAAGCAACUAAGAGUAAGCUGCUUGGUGCGAAGAAUAAUGAUCAAGCACUGUCCCAAUCCUCCACCGAACAUGAUCGAGAGUUUAUGAAGAUGAAAUCCAAAGUGCAAAAGAUGAAAAGGUUCUUAGAAGCUAUGGGUUACACAGAUGAUACAGAUGACGAUUUAGAUGAGUUCAAUGAGUCACCCAACGAGAAUCAUCUAGAUGCCUCUAGCGCGCACCGCAAAAUGACAGUUGGCAAUAACCAAGUCCAGAAGAGAUAAAUCUAGCACACCGGUCGCAGCCAGAACCAACUCCAUUUCCACGGCCGAAUCAACAGGCUGAUUCUCAUCAUCAGUGCGAGCCGGGAUCUACGGCUGCUGCUGACCUUGCCAUGUGGAAGCAAGCUAAGGCAAGUCAAGAUGCUCGCAAGACUACAAGAGUCACAAACAAGAAGAGAAGAACAUCGCAAAAUGGUUCAAAUUGAGUUUCUUUGGGGCAUCUUUGUGUCUGUUUUUGCUGCUUUCACUAUGAGUUGUUGCUUCCACUUUCUUGCACUCUAUCUCCCCAUCAUAUUUGUGCUUGGACUAGUAUACUACUACUAUAAGUAGCCUUAGCAAGAAUUUAAUGAGUAGUAUUGGCGCAUAGUUUUUGUGAAUCUGAUUGUGGUUGUUUGUUGCACUCUGUUUGUGACUGGUUUUUGCACUUUGUUUGUGACUGAUUUUGUGAAGAUGCACUUUAUUUUGUCACUAGUUUUUGCUCUCUGAACUUGUAAAAAUGCAGCUCUUUGAGCUUAGGAAUUGUAGGUCUCCAAGGGAAUAAAUGGACCAAUAGAUUAGAUGGAUCAAUGGAAUAGAUGGAUCAGAUCACACACACCCAACACACACACACACACACACACACACACGGACCAAUAGAAUAGAUGGAUCAUAUCACAACUUUCUUGAUCCCCUCGAGGCAUCUCUUAAAAUCCUCCACAAAUCCUUAAUGUUAUACUUUCCUUUGAUUUACAGUGCCAUUCUUGAUCGCAUGGAGCUACAUGAGCUGUUUCCAAAAUUGCAGUAACUUGAACAUUAAGAAUUGAAAUCCGUAAGCCGGGUUGAUCCCAUGGAAAACAAUGAGUUAUUCUUAAUUGCAGUUAAAUUGAAUACUAUUAAGAACCGGACUCGAAGAGCUUUCACUAGCUUCAACA